AAUUCCUUGAUCAGCACCAUCUUCCCGGAACCCCCUCACAGCUGCCGCCGAUACCACCGCCGCCGCCGCCGCUACCGCCUCUCACAGCGCCUGCGCGGCCCCGCCUCCCUGCCCCCGAGCCACCAUAGCGCCUGCGUGCCUACACCCUUCCGCCGCGACCAGUCGCGUCAGCGCGCGAGGGGGCCUAGCUCCGCCCAGUUUCGUGCCCCACCCCGGGCACACGAGGCCUCCACUGCGGUUGCGCAGCCCGCCGAAGAGCUUGCGGCUUUUACUGCGGCUGCGCAAACUCGACGCGCGCACUCCUGUCCGCUGACGAGGGCUCCUCCCUUCAGCUUCAGUCCCUCGGGGCGUUUGGGCAGCCUACGCUUUCCGCCUUGGCAGCUCACGUUCCGCGGGAGGACGUUCACCUGCUUCGCGGUCUCGUGGAGGUCCACCGCGGCGGAGAAUCCUAAACCUCACCUGUGACGCGGCAGGAUGAGCGGCCAACACUCCCGACGAAGGCGCUCUUGGGGAAAGGAGGCGCUUGGCCUCGAGACCCAGGAAAGGGGGCUGUUCUGGGAGUUAGUUCGCGCAGUUACAGCGAAUGCGCCAUGGGCCUCAAAGCCGCAGCCCGGAGGUCGCUGGCUUGCUCUGUGCCAGACACGGUUCUAUAGAGGCAGUGGGGAGGCAUGUGAAAGCAGACACGGUCCCUGUUCUCAAGAAGCCCACAGUCUAGAGGAGACAACUCACUUGGGAAAAAACCAGGGAGAAUUUGGGGUGGUGGGGAAGUGCUAUGCUAUGAAUACAGUGGAGUACUGGGAAAGGCAGGGAACUCAAGACAAGGGCUGUCUUAGGAGGCGGUGUUUGAACCUAGCCUGUUAGGAUGUGAGAGGGGCAUUCCAGUUGGAGGGAAAUAGGACCCGAGAAUGCAAUAAGCUUAGGGUAUUUAAGGAUCGGCUAGAGGGCAGAUGUGGCCAGAACAUCGUAAGUGAGGGUGGCAAAUGAGCUGGGACCAACUAGAUCACUAGGCCAUAGUAAAGAAUUUGUGUUCUAAGAACCAUGAGAACCUAUUGAAAGGCUAUUAAGACGAUUAAAAUAUCACGAAAACAUUUUUGUGUAAACAUCUGGUGUAUCUGAUACUGGAAUAUACGUCUGUGGAGUUAGGGCUACCUCAAAAAAAAUAAUGGAAAUGAAGUGACUCAGUGACUCCCAGGGACUGCCUUAGGAGAAGGUUUCUGGAAUGUCAAAACUUCCAGAAACUUUCUCCUAAGGCAGUUCCAGGGAGUCACCGAGUUUCUCUUGUGUGUGAAUAGUGCUAGUUAUUGUGAGGGCAGAGAUUUAAGGAAACGCACGCUCUUUCUUGCAAGAGUUGAGAAGCUUAGAAUCCGCUUUGUUGAUUGGACAUUGGAUUUUAUGCCAAGUACUGUGCUAAGUAAUAGAGAUGUUUUAUUUUAUUUCACCCUUAGAACAUUAUGAGAUGUAUUUUAGCAUGCUUUACGAGGGGGAAUAAAAUGAGAUUCAGGGAGUCAAGUGACUUGUACUAGCUUGUUUGCAGAGCCGGGUUUCAAAUCCAGAUUUUAAAAACGUCAAAGUCUGGUCCAUUCAUUACACUAAUUUCCUAGAUGAAAGUUAAGUUGGGGCGUGCAGACCAUCUUUAUGAGAAAUAAUUGUUCUCAAUUAUGGAAAGGAGACUAAAGUCAAAUUCUAGAAGAUAUUUAGAAAAAUUAAGGGAUUGAAUACUAUAAAUCUGUAUGCUUAGGGAGUGUUCUUUAAAGUCUAAGGAGGUAAUAUUAACAUUAAUUGCCAAAUUUAUGUGGUAAGGAGUCAUUUUAUGUUGUAAUCUUUCUCCCCACGUUAUGCUUGUUGAAAAUAUAACUUUUUAAACGUUGCAGAUAAAUUUAUGGCUGACUUGCUUUAUCAAUCAUUAAGAAAAAGGAAAUUUUACAUCAUUUCUCUAAUUUUUGAAGUCUCCCACAAGUGUUCACUAGUUCUUUUGUCUGCAUAACACAAUUCUUCUCAUAGAUGUACUCAGAUGUUUGUGAAAUAAACGAGACAGUAUGCUGGAUGGAGCAUGCCUCCAAACCAGUAUACAAUAUAGACGGUGCCUCCCUUUCCUAUUGUUUAAAAAAAUUAUUUGAUGAUACUCGUUCAAGUAUAGUAAGGCAGACUUUAUUCAGGACCUUCGAAAUAAGUAUACGGACCACUGUAAUGGGAUUUUGUAGUGGGGGAAAGAGAUUGGGCUCAACUCUGAACACAGCAUGGGCAAGUGAGGGUUUAUAGCCAAGGAACAAGAUGGUUGGACCUAGGGCGAUCAGUGGAUGGAAAAUUAUUAAGAGGAUACAUCCGGUUCUGGCUAAAGUAACCUAACAUAAUUCUUGCUGAAGACGUGAUCAGACAUCAUCUGGGGAAUGGUGGAGGAUGAAGAACAGAUACCAAGGAUUGGGGAGGUUCUGUUAAAACUAGAUUUUACAACUGUUUGGUGGGGCAAUGUAUUGUUGUCACAAUCAAAAGGUUCAUAUUAAAAGACUCAAUUGAGAAGGAUAGAUUAAGAAAGUAACCGGUUUAGAUGUAUUUAUUGAGGGAAAGAUUAGCUAGGUUGCUGGAAAACAUGAAAUCUGUAUAACAAAAUAAUCCUACAUCUUUUUCAAGGAUAAAAAUGGCAGAAUGAAAGAAUUAUAAGUGGAACUAGAGAAUAGGAAAGCCACGAACCAGUGCCCAAAAUGAGAAAGAAGGACAUACAAAGAAAAAGACAAAUACACGUGAAAAAAAUAGACUAGUGGAUUUAUGUCCCUGUUGUGUGACAUUUUCUUGUAUAACAGCUGAAGAUGUUGAAGCCUGUGGUGCAUUUUUGCAAAUGUAUGUAUAAAGUGGAAUGUAAGUUUUACCAGUAAUUGUCUGUAGAUACAAAAAGCCAACCCUUUUUUUUGUUUGUUUUAGUGUGGUGUUCCUUGUUUUAUCUUUGAAUUCUCAAAGGUAGCCUUUACACAGAUGUUCAGUUAAACUAAUUCUACCAGUGUCAUAUGUCUACCAAUCUCAUUAUUUCCCUUGUAUGUACUUCUAGGUCAAAGAGCUCAUUACAGUAAGAAUGAUGGUAAAUUUUACCAAGGUAAAAGAUUUCUGAACACGA
Macaca mulatta (Rhesus monkey) is the source of this 3106-nucleotide non-coding RNA. The record is from RefSeq and is a predicted model, not a curated record. Lineage: Eukaryota; Metazoa; Chordata; Mammalia; Primates; Cercopithecidae.